UCCGAUAUGGUGUAGUGGCCAACAUGAUGCCCUCUCAUCUUGAUGAAAGGUUAGGCAUAGCCCCGAGUUCGAUUCUCGGUUUCGGAA
This 87-nucleotide transfer RNA is filed under the name Colletotrichum godetiae. Its description in RNAcentral is "tRNA-Glu". It matches the Rfam family "tRNA". From Rfam's summary of the family: Transfer RNA (tRNA) molecules are approximately 80 nucleotides in length. Their secondary structure includes four short double-helical elements and three loops (D, anti-codon, and T loops). The record is from RNAcentral. RNAcentral also lists the same sequence under 1 other name. Lineage: Eukaryota; Fungi; Ascomycota; Sordariomycetes; Glomerellales; Glomerellaceae.